RNAcentral lists this long non-coding RNA (4827 nucleotides) under Sus scrofa (pig). Its description in RNAcentral is "lncRNA (ENSSSCG00040026755.1)". The record is from RNAcentral. Lineage: Eukaryota; Metazoa; Chordata; Mammalia; Artiodactyla; Suidae.
CAGCAUAGUUCCCAGGCUAGGGCUCAAACUGGAGCUACAGCCACCAGCCUAAGCCACAGCCACAGCAAUGACAGAUCCGAGCCAUGUCUGCGACCUACACUGUAGCUCACCAUAGCAACGCCGGAUCCUUAACCCACUGAGCGAGGCCAGGGACCGAACAUGAGUCCUCAUGUAUACUAGUCAGGUUCAUUACCACUGAGCCACAACAGGGAAUCUGACAAGUUUACAUCAAAGGCCUAUUCAGGAUCAUUUUCAGAUUCACUGUGAUUUCUUGACUAGAAUGCAAAGAGCCCCUUGUGACAGUUAUGUGUAUGGAGGCACAAUUUCUACUAGGACUCUUCAAAUAACCCUGUGUGUAGCCAUCACUGCAGGACCCAUCGGUUCUCUCUGGCUUCAUGCAGGACUCCAAGCUUUAUGCCAAAGUUCGACACGCCAGCAUCUCCUCCCAGCCCCCUGGCAAAAGCACCAUGGUUACUGCUGUGCCACACAAUUCCACCAUCAUGAUGUGGAUAUUCAAGAGCCAAUGAACACUCCCAUGAGUAAGCAUACAUUUUUUUUUCUAAAAUUGCAAACAGCAGCAUAUCAGGAUUGCUACCAUUGGUAAAAAUACUAUCAUUUCUUAUCUGAUUACCUGAAAAAAUCCACAUGAUAAGUAAAUUUAGUCAAUCCGAACAGAGACCUAGAUAUGAGAAGAUGCAAUGUCUGCUGGGAAAGGUGCACAUCAUUACCUACCCAGACAAAGAAAUGUCCCCAGAGAAUGACCAUCAGAAUGAAUAUUCAUCUCUUGGCAGAACCUGAAAAGCACAUUAUGAUACACGUAUAAAAGGACAUAGCUUACUCUACUAGGACACUUGCAAACAAGCUCCGUCAUUGACAGCAUUAUGAUCAACUCUACUUGAAUAUUUGCAGUUCUCCUAGGGCAUGACCCUUGUCAGGAAAUAACACUUCUUUACAAGAUACCUGCAGAAAUUCCAUGAUCACUACUGUGCUUGAGCAAUCAUAAUCAAUACCUGCUAUGUGUAAUUGCUCAUGAGUCACAGAGUUAAAGAUAUUCUCUAAAGCAUGAAAACUGAAAGUUCAUGGUAUUAAGAACUGGUAAGGAAUCAACCAUUACCUGAAUACCUGCAGAGAAGCCAUGGUAACAAGUGACAGGGUCACAAUCAUCACAAACCUGGACCCCGACCGUGUCCCCUGUUAACAUUAAUGCUCAGUUCAGAGUGAUGUGUGGACACAAACCUGUAAAAGAUAGGAAAUGUGUCCUUUCUACCUACACAUCUUGGUCACGUCACCAUUAUGAGACACAUCAACUCUACCUGGUUACUUGCAGUAAUUCAAGGUCAAUACCAAUGUUGGAAAGCCAAAUCUGAUAACAUGCCAAAAACAAAGUAAAUAUAAAAGACUGAUCAUGAAUCACGUAGCCAUCGGAAUAUAACAAUGUCUUUAAUUAGUGAAUAUCCCCUCAUCUCAUCCUUGUGUGACAAGGAAAGAUCUGAACCUGACACCUGCAAAAAGAAGACAUGAACACAAAUAUUAGGGACACCAUCCUCAUUCACCUAGACCCUGAAGUUCAGAUGGUGUGCACUGUGGUGAGACCCACUUUCACACUUACCUGGUUACUAGAAAGCUUUUGUUAGUCAUCACACUGCUAGGUUUACCCUGUUGUCUUAACAGGAUCCUGAAGAAAUACAUGCAACAAAUCUGUGUAAGACAAACACUGUUCUACCAGGACACCUGCAUCUAACCGUGUGCACCUCCGUUAUCAUGGAACACAUCAUUGCUACCUGGAUCUCUGCAUUCAUUCGAGGUCAACACUGCUGUCAGAAGAGAUCAGUAUCACUUUCCUGGAUUCCUGUAAAAAUCCAAUGGUUACAACAGUGAGGAGACUUCACAACAACUACUGGGAACAUAACUGACUCCUCAAUACUUACAAGAUAAAACAUAUUUUCACUAAAAUACACAAAGCGUAAACUCAUGGUUAUUGGAAUUAGUAUGAACUCUUAGUAUUUCUCAGCUGAAUACCUGCAAAAAAAUCUUUUUAAGAAGAAGUGUUAGGAAGGCAAGCAUAUUCACUUACCCACAUACAUGAGGCAGAGAUGGUCUAUGAUGUGGGUUAGGCCCACACCAUCACUCACCUAGAUACCAGCAACUUUAACUACAUUGAGAUGCUUACCAUCACGAACCCGAAGACGCAUUUAGAGGAUGUGCUUGAAGUACAUAUCAUUCUAGUGUCCACCUUCAGAUCCCUUUGUUCCACUGCAUAACUGUGAGACUCAUCACCAUUACCUGGACUAAAUCUUAGUAAGAGAUGCCUUCUUCUCUUGAAAGGCUACCUCGAAAUUCUACGGUCUAUAUUGCGGUGAUGAACAGUAUGAUAAAUUUCCUGGAUAUCCGCAUAUCCUUUUGUCAGUAGAGGUGGGUAAAAUGCUAUUCUGGAACUCGAAUAUAGGAAAAUAUUAUGCUUACGAGUAUGUUAAUGACAGAUUAAUAGCUUUACUGCAUACAAGCCAAAAAUAUAGUUAAUAUAGUUAAGUGUAAGAUAAACUAUAAAGUGUCUGCAAAAUAUCAUUUAUUCCUUAUCUAUCUGAAAAUACCUUCAUACUAGCAAACACUUUAACAGGGUACCUGCAGGAAAAAACACAGUAUCACUGUGUCUGGUGUUAGGGACAUCAUCCUCACUUACACAGACAUCUGAAGACCAGAUGGUCUAUAUUGGGCUGCAAGACCCUCAAUAUCACUUACCUGGUUACUAGCAGGGUCCCAUUGAUGACCAUUCCUAGGUCUGCUAUAGGGUCAUCACUACUAUAACAUGUAAGAACACAACUGACAAGGGUUUUAAGGAAAAAAAUGUUUUACCUGAAGAAUACACGUAAUUACUUCUGGUUAUUUUUCUAUCAUCAGGGGAAUCCUUGAUACUCUGUGGAUCUUGAAAGAUCUUCAAGGUCAACAUCACUACCUACGUAUCUGAAGAAACGACGGUAUCUAAUGAAUUAAUGUCACAUCAUCUCAUACCUGUACACUAGACAAAGAAAGUAAUGGGAAACCUACAAAAAAGUGUGGUGCACUGUGUUAGACACCAUUCUUACGUGCUCGAUAACUGAACAUCUAAUGAUCUGUACUGGGCUGUAAGCCACCUUUUCACCAACCUGGUUUCUAACAAGGUCCCACUGACAACUAUUAUUUGGUUAAUUAUAUUCACGAUGCUGACUAGAACCUUGAGAAAUGCAUUAGACAACUGUGUUAAAGGACAUUCUUAUUUAUCUGCCAAAUAAGUACCUUUGAAGAUAAUCUUGCUUGCUUCCAUCAUUAGAGGAGCAUAUGCACUAUAUGAACCUUGGAAGAACUUUAAGGUCAACACCAUUGUGAGGCACAGUAUCAUCUCUUCUAGGAGAAUCUGUAGAAAUGUCAUGGUUAACACUGCAAAAGUAGAAUAAAUUACCUGGACCUGAAUAACCCUCUGUUACUACUAAGUUUAAAUACACACUAUAUCAAAAAUCUUAAAAAAAAAAAAAAAGGCAAAUACAAGCACUAGUUGUGACUAUGUCAAUUUUCUUUUUUUUUUCCAUUUUUUAAAGUUUUACUGAACUAUAGUUGAUCUACAAGGUUGUGAUGGAAAAUGCCACUUCUUAAAUGAAUAGCUGCUUAAAUAAAACAAGAUGGUAACAGAAUAAUUAGGAACACCCUCCCUCAGACCUACAUAUCUGAAGAUCAUAUUAUAGGUGCUAAAUGCCAUAGGAACACUUAUCUGGAGAGAAGCAAAGUUCCAUUCAAGAUCAUUUUGAGAUUCACCAUGACUUCUUGACCAGACUGUAAAAAGCCCUUUGUGACAGAUAUGUCUAUGGACGUACCUUUUCUACCAGGAAAUUUCAAACAGCCUUAUGGGUGGCCAUCACUGCAGGACCCAUCGGUUCUCCCUGGAUUCAUGUAGGACUCCAAGAUCUAUGCCAAAUUUAGACACAGCAUCAUCUCUUCCCAGCUUACUUGCCAAAGCACCAUGGUUACUAGUGUACCACACAAUUCCACUGUCAUGGUGUGGAUACCCACCAGCCACUCAACACUCCCAUGACUAAGCAUACAUUUUCUCUAAGAUCACAGACAGUAGCAUAUCAGGAUUGCUACAACUGGUAAACAUACUAUGAUUUCUUACCUGACUUCUUGAAAAUAAAACACAUGGUAAAUAAGUUUAUUCAAUCCUAACACUGACCUAGAUAUGAGAAGAUGAGAUGUCUGUUAGGGGAAGGUGCACAUCAUUACAUACCUGGGCACAGAAAUGUCCCCAGAGAACAACCACCAGAAUGUCUCUCUCUUGACAGGAACCUGAAAAGCACAUUAUAACAUAGGUGUAAAAGACAGAGCAUGCUCAACCAGGAUACGUGCAAAAAACCUUGGUCAUUUCCAUCAUUAUGAAAUCAACUCUACCUGAAUAUAUGUAGUACUCCAAGGUCAAGACCGUCAUCAGGUAAUAACAUUUCCCAUAAGAUACUUGCAAAAUUUCCAUGGUCACUACUGUCCUUGAGCAGUCAUGAUAAACACCUGCUAUAUGUAAUCGCUCAUGACUCACAGAGUUAAAGAUGAUCUCUAAAACAUGAAAACUGGGAAGUUCCCAUUGUGGCUCAGUGAUAACGAGCCCGACUAGUAUCCACAAGGAUGUGGGUUUGAUCCCUGGCCUCGAUCAGUGGGUUAAGGAUUGGCAUUGCCAUGAGCUGUAGUUUAAGUCAUAGACACAGCUUGGAUCCUGAGUUGCUGUGGCUGUGGCUCUGAUUCGACUGCUAGCCAGGGAACUUCCAUAUGCCAUAAGUGUGGCCCUAAAAAGCAGAAAAAAAAAAAAAA